Molecule: ribosomal RNA, 253 nt
Filed under: uncultured bacterium
Lineage: Bacteria
Description: partial 16S ribosomal RNA
Rfam family: Bacterial small subunit ribosomal RNA
Source: RNAcentral
UACAGAGGGGGCAAGCGUUAUUCGGAAUUAUUGGGCGUAAAGGGCGCGUAGGCGGCUUUUCAAGUGACGGGUGAAAUCCCUCGGCUUAACCGAGGAACUGCCUGUCAGACUGGAAGGCUUGAGACCGGGAGAGGUGAGUGGAAUUCCCAGUGUAGCGGUGAAAUGCGUAGAUAUUGGGAGGAACACCAGUGGCGAAGGCGGCUCACUGGACCGGAACUGACACUGAGCUGCGAAAGCAAGGGGAGCAAACAGG